UGAAUAGCAGAAUUCAGUGAAUCAUCGAAUCUUUGAACGCACCUUGCCGCUCCUUGGUAUUCCGAGGAGCAUGCCUGUUUGAGUGUCAUUAAUAUAUAUAUAUCAAACUGCUCUUCAUUUGAGUGGUUUGGAUGUGGGGGGGUUUUGCUGGCCUCUUAAAGGGGUUCAGCUCUCCUGAAAUGCAUUAGCAGAACAAACCUGUUCAUUGGUGUGAUAACUAUCUACGCUAUUGAAUGUAAGGGGCAGUUCAGCUUUCUAACAGUCCUAGGACAAAUUUAUCAUUUAUGUGACCUCAAAUCAGGUAGGACUACCCGCUGAACUUUAAGCAUAUCAAUAAGCAGAGG
Molecule: small RNA, 344 nt
Filed under: uncultured fungus
Lineage: Eukaryota; Fungi
Description: eukaryotic LSU rRNA
Rfam family: 5.8S ribosomal RNA (bases 1-88)
Source: RNAcentral